CUUGCUCUCCCUGGGCUCUAAACUGCUCGGUUAGGGCUCUGUUCAAACAGCAAAUCAAAGGACACGGGGGGGAGCUCCCCAGUCAUUCUGGCUUUGCAGCUGUCUCACCCUCAUUUCCAUGGAAAGCAGAACGCUGCCAGGAAGCAGCUGAUACUAACCCCCUGUUGCUGGGUUGGGCAUGGGAACGCCCCCUGACUGCGGCUGCCUUUAUAGAGCCCGGCUCCUGGUGUGCUGCUGCUUGUGCCACUCCCCGGAGCUAGCAUGUCACCCAUGCCCAAGGCGGCCUUCGUAGGCAUGCUCCUCUUCUGCCUGUGCCCCGGGCACCGAACAGCCCUGCGGGCCCAGGCAGUCCACGUGCCCACGAGGUGCAUGUGCUUGAAGUUCCAAGAGAAGGUUAAUCCCAGAUUCAUAAUGGAUUUCCAGAUCAUUGAGAAGGGAGCCCACUGCCACCGCCAUGAGAUCAUAUUAACCGUGAAGCAAUGGAGAGGCCCGAGAGAAACGUGCCUUGACUCAUCCAGGAGGCAAGGGAAGAAUCUGCUGCACUGCUGGAAGAGACACCGGAAGGACCCCAGGAAGCAGCGCCACUGCAUGAAAAGGGGGCAGUGACACAGGACCAGGGCAAAGCAGUGAGCACGAUGCACAGGUAAGGCCACGCUCUGGGAUCCAGGGGCAGGCCUCCCGGGGCUCCCCCUGCAUGGGGCCUAGCUGCGGCCACGCGAGAUGAAGCAGGGAGAACUCCCCGCCCAGCUCGUGGCCCACAGCAGGACUUUGAUCCACAGCCUGUCAGCCCAGGCUGCUCUCGCAGUGAGGUGACAAGUGAGUGCGGCCUGGCCAGGCCAGGGUGAGGCUGGGCCAAGAUGUGGGACUGCACACCUUGGGUUUGCCAUACUCUUCCUCCCCAGUUGAGGCUUAUGAGCAGGGUAUCCAUUAUGCAGAGGUAUGAGCCAGAACCUAGGGUUGCCAAUUUUCUAAUUGCACAAAACUGAACACCCUUGCCCGGCCCCUUUCCCUUCCCUGCCCCUUCUUUGAGGCCCCGCCCUCACUCACUCCAGCACCCGUCCCUCCAUCGCUCACUUUUCCCCACCCUCACUCACUUUCACUGCAGGAGCAGGCUCAGGGCUGGGGCAGGGGGUUGGGGUGUGCGAGAGGAUGCAGACUCCUGCUGGGGGUGUGGGCUCU
Molecule: long non-coding RNA, 1179 nt
Filed under: Chrysemys picta bellii (western painted turtle)
Lineage: Eukaryota; Metazoa; Chordata; Testudines; Emydidae
Description: lncRNA (ENSCPBG00000016230.1)
Source: RNAcentral